CCGCUGCUUCCACGGGCCCGCGGGCCUGUCCCUCAGCGCGGGGUGUGGAGGGGCGGUGGCAGCACGGGCGCGGUUGCGGCGGAGCCCGGAGGCGGCGCUGAUAGGACGGCGCGCGGAGGCGCUGCGGGCCGCGGCUGCCGCCCCCGGGCCGGAGCAGCCCGGUUGUGCUGAGCCCGGCCCGGCCCGGAGCAGCCCGCCUGUGCCGAGCCCGGCUCGGAGCAGCCCGAGGAAGAAGCAGAAGUUUUAACCAUCUUCCCAUGGCAUCUGACUUUUUUGAAGAGGAGGACUUUUCAACCACUUGAUAGAAGGGAAAUAAGAAGUUUGUUUCAAGACUCUUAUGUUGUUCAUCAGUGCUGUUAACAAACGUGGGGCUUGAGGAUACAUUUGCUGCUUCUCUGCAUUUUUGCUAAAGGUGGGACCUUGCUGUCUCCCAGCUCCAGUGGGCAUUAGGUUUCAUAGAUGUCUCUUGGGAAGAGGACAGCUCUGUGGAGCCUAAGUUUCAAAAGUAAUUUUAAAGAUUGCACCCAAGAGAGAAGCAGUGAGAUGCACAGUGGGGAAAAGGGACCCAGCAGUCCAUCCUAUGCUGUACCUGCCUGAAUAUGGGAAGAGACCUAGUACAAAGCCAGAAUGCAGCUGGGCUUGCAGUAUUUUUAACCAUAUUAAGUCCUGUUCAGAGUUAAUGAUGAGCUGAGUGAGAUGGUCUCAGCAAUGCUGAAGGAGUGAAGGACAGAAUUGGAAGGCAGGAGCUACUUUAAAGCAGGAUUUUUCAUCUUUCUGUAAUGCCCAAACAUGAAGACUUUAUAAACUUCAUUAGAUCCUGCCAUCAAUGACUGAGCCUCCCUGAAAUCUUCUUAUCAGUUACUGCCAAGAUGAGAGGGAUAACAGGAAGGAGGAGUGCUUAAGUGGCUUUAAUGACAGUUAAUUUCUUCUGUUUAUCAAACAACAGAUUGUUUUUUCCUCAAAACUCGAUUGUCAUGACAAGAUGCUUUUGGAAGUCAUCUUUGUAAAAUAAAACUGACAAUUUUUAGGCUA
This is a long non-coding RNA of Pyrgilauda ruficollis (rufous-necked snowfinch), 1032 nucleotides long. RefSeq lists it as uncharacterized. The transcript is spliced from 7 exons. The record is from RefSeq and is a predicted model, not a curated record. Lineage: Eukaryota; Metazoa; Chordata; Aves; Passeriformes; Passeridae.